AACGAACGCUGGCGGCAGGCCUAACACAUGCAAGUCGAGCGGACCCUUCGGGGUUAGCGGCGGACGGGUGAGUAACGCGUGGGAAUAUGCCCUUCUCUACGGAAUAGUCCUGGGAAACUGGGGGUAAUACCGUAUACGCCCUUUGGGGGAAAGAUUUAUCGGGGAAGGAUUAGCCCGCGUUGGAUUAGGUAGUUGGUGGGGUAAUGGCCUACCAAGCCGACGAUCCAUAGCUGGUUUGAGAGGAUGAUCAGCCACACUGGGACUGAGACACGGCCCAGACGCGAGGGGGAGGGAGGGGGGGGGACAAUGAGGCAGGGGGGGCGGCCUGGAGGGAGCCAGGGGGGGUGAGUGAGGAAGUCCUUAGGGAUGUAAAGCGCGUGAGGGCGGAAGAGAAGGACGGGACAAGCGGAAAAAGCCCCGGCGAAGCGCGGGGCAGCGGCGGCGGUAAUAGACAGAACAGCCAACUUACGAGC
This 473-nucleotide ribosomal RNA is filed under the name uncultured bacterium. Its description in RNAcentral is "partial 16S ribosomal RNA". The stretch from base 20 to 302 matches the Rfam family "Bacterial small subunit ribosomal RNA", at positions 47 to 358 of the family's 1533-position model. The record is from RNAcentral.